UACAAUUACAGAUUUAUGAUUUUAAGAUCGAGAUACUAAGCUUUACUUACAAUCUGGAUUAGAAGUGAAAUUUACCGUUUAUUGGUGAGGGCUCCGUUGCGAAUAUCGCGUGGACGCCAUUUUCAAAAUUUUGCUCCUUUCUUUUCCAAUUUCAGUAAACUAUGGCGACAGGCAUCCAACAUGACCUGAUGAAGCAGGCACAGUGCUUUUGGUCAAUGCUGGAUGAGCUUGCAGAGACCGAUGAAGAUGCAUACAGGAAGUUCAUGGCCACAAACCUCCAAAGAGGACAGCAAGAAUUGACACCGGCCAAGCCAUAGAUGUGUGUCAAGACCCGUAUCAUGGUUGUUGACAAGAACAGAAAUGGCAGAGUUUGGCAGCGGCACAACUACAAAGUCUGCAACUGGAAGUGGUGGAUAUGACCUGGAUGAUAUUUACAAAAUCGCUGGAACGGUUGGAGGAAUUGACGGCUUUCUGGUGGCUCUACUGUUGACAUUUGGUUUUGUAAUAUAUUACCUACAAAGAAGUGGAGCCAGCAUAGGAAGCAUUGGAACAAUCAGCGGUAACAACAACCCUAACGUUGUUGCUUCAGGGGAAGUUACUUUCAAUUACUACAAGCCGUCGGAGGGAACAGGUAAAUAUUAUCUUGUUUGAUACAAUUCAUACGAUAAAGUACAGUAAACUCCGGCUGAAUAAGACGGCACUCUCGGGACCAGAGAAUUUGUGACGGCUUACCCAGAUGUCGGCUUCUGCUGCAAGACGUCAUUUUGCCGUCUUACACAAAUACACGAAUUGAAUCACGGAGUGAAAAAA
This is a long non-coding RNA of Patiria miniata (bat star), 810 nucleotides long. RefSeq lists it as uncharacterized. The record is from RefSeq and is a predicted model, not a curated record. The transcript has 3 exons. NCBI's taxonomy places the organism in Eukaryota, Metazoa, Echinodermata, Asteroidea, Valvatida, Asterinidae.